GACGAACGCUGGCGGCGUGCCUAAUACAUGCAAGUUGAGCGCUGAAGGUUGGUACUUGUACCGACUGGAUGAGCAGCGAACGGGUGAGUAACGCGUGGGUAAUCUGCCUUUGAGCGGGGGACAACAUUUGGAAACGAAUGCUAAUACCGCAUAAAAACUUUAAACACAAGUUUUAAGUUUGAAAGAUGCAAUUGCAUCACUCAAAGAUGAUCCCGCGUUGUAUUAGCUAGUUGGUGAGGUAAAGGCUCACCAAGGCGAUGAUACAUAGCCGACCUGAGAGGGUGAUCGGCCACAUUGGGACUGAGACACGGCCCAAACUCCUACGGGAGGCAGCAGUAGGGAAUCUUCGGCAAUGGACGAAAGUCUGACCGAGCAACGCCGCGUGAGUGAAGAAGGGUUUCGGAUCGUAAAACUCGGUUGGUAGAGAAGAACGUUGGUGAGAGUGGAAAGCUCAUCAAGUGACGGUAACUACCCAGAAAGGGACGGCUAACUACGUG
This 497-nucleotide ribosomal RNA is filed under the name uncultured bacterium. RNAcentral describes it as "partial 16S ribosomal RNA". It matches the Rfam family "Bacterial small subunit ribosomal RNA", at positions 28 to 507 of the family's 1533-position model. The record is from RNAcentral.